Molecule: long non-coding RNA, 1157 nt
Organism: Syngnathus typhle (broad-nosed pipefish)
Lineage: Eukaryota; Metazoa; Chordata; Actinopteri; Syngnathiformes; Syngnathidae
Exons: 3
Source: RefSeq, a predicted model, not a curated record
GGAAGUGUUCACAAUAAAGUAUUAGAAAGCCCAUUAGCGGCACUUUCCAGCGCCGCGGAGCCAGCGGCAACCCGAUAUCAUCGGCGGAUCCCAAUGAAGAUGAUGGCCAGAUGACAAGUGAGUGAAGGAGGGAAGGGUCAAAUCCAAAACACAUGUCAACACAGAGCAAGAGGUCCUUCCCUCCAGUGACGUUCUUCUGCACGUGACAAAGGACGUGGAAAGACGUGGAGGGUGUCGUCUGCAUAUCUACCACUAGGAGUGCUGCAGCUUGGCAGUUGGAGAGCACUCAAUGUUCCACAGCUGCUGCCGUUGCCUCACUCUGAUCCUCCGCAGAGGAGCUGACAGUCCAUAAAUGCACACAUUCUUAAUCAUCCACAUUGUUGCUUUUGAUUGGGGAACAAUUGAUUCCACAUGGUUCGAACAUCUAUUAUAUGGGACACGUUAAUAGCUACGCUAACCCGGAAUACUAGAGUUUCAAAGCUAGGGUUAGGGUUUCAAAGUAGGGUUUAGAUUGGACAUAGUUGUAUACUUCCUCUUUGUGUCAAUGGCAGCCAAAAACACAACAGUUACACACAAACACACACACACACUGAUCCACAGCCCCUCCCUCCCCUGUCACUGCCAGUGGUCCUGCCACCAAUGUUGAGCAGGUGACCUUUUCUUUCGGCUAAUCCACACCAAAAAGCCCUAAUUACUGCUGCCGCUCCACCAACCUCUGCUGUCCCAAUAAUCAAUACAGCCGAUUGACCGGCAGAUCACCCCGUCAACACGCCGGCACCAUACUUUGUGGCUUAACAUCAUGUGUGCACAUGAUGGCAUUUGCAAAGAAGACAAAGCUUCCGCAUCUGUGUUGUUGUUGUUGUUGACAAACGGGCCGUGAAAUGCUUAUAGACACUACAGGAGCAUCAACGACAACACACGCAAAAAAAAAAAAAAAUCCGAAACAAUGUUAUCAGGCAGGAGAAGGAAGUUCCAUUUUUGAUUGUAGCUACAACAACACAACCAUAUCAGUGAGAACUCCAUUUCCUCCCAUGUUCUUUCACUCCUUGUCACUCUCGCUGACAGACUUUGAUUGCACGAGACAAGUUAAUGAAAAGCUACAGCGGAGGAAGAAGGCUGCACCUGCCAGUGAGCCAGCCGGCGUGCAUACCUGCAGG